CAUGGCAAAGCUUCAGUGUCUCAUUAGAGACUGGAAAAGCAUCUGCGUUCCAGUUGGCGUGCGGCCAUUAUUAUGCAGCGGUCGGGAGAGUUGAGUCGCUCCGACCGGCAGAUAUUUACACUUUGUUUGUGGCACGAGUGUCGGUCUGACCGCUGGGCUUCUCACGCCCCCUCGGGACAAUGCGGCCCCUGUUUGAGACAUCCUGUGUACGGUUCUCUCCCUCCACCAGCGCCCCGCAGAAGCCAUCGUCUUCCUUUCAAGUCCACAGUCAUCUAACGGUCAGAGUGUGAGUGAGUGUGAGUGUGUGUGCGUGCGUGCACACCAGACACCCUGAGUCACUCGUGAUGCAGGUUCCUCUAUGUGGGAAAGCUUGACCGUGUGUGCCGGUUGCUCAUAAACAGUAGGAGCGCCGGCCCCGCCAUGUAAAACAAACUAGCCGCCGCAACAUGUCGUGGCUGCAGUUUGACUGGAGAGAAAACAGCGACCAGGCGAAAGCCUUUGAUGGGUCGACGAUCCCCCGGCUGUUUUCGGGUUUGACGAGCUGGGCCGCCGGAGGGUCAACGUCUGGCACGUUAGUACAAUUGUGGGUCGUAGGUGUGAUGCUGGAGCUGUCAAAAUAAAAAGGUCGGUGUGACCUCCAGGUGAAAGGAGCAAACAAAUACUUCUCUGACUCCAAGUGAGUUGUUGGUCUUCUCCACAGCCCUGAAAAGGACUUGAGGAGAGACCGACACGUUCCCAUUCCAGCUUGUCACAUACUGAUGCUUUGUAGAAUCUCUUGACAUCACUUAUUAACACAGUAAACACGUGGUUGACGUAGAGAAUUCAAACAAAAACACUCGGCUGGCUUUGGGCAACGGAGCCCCUUAGUUAAGUUUAUGAAAAACAUAAUAGUUGGGCUUAAAAUAACUGCGGAAAAAAUAGGUUCACCAUAAACAACGUAACUUAAGCGCAGAAGUCACAACCAUCUGUAACUUAACUCUCACCCUUCACACUUCAGCUGGUCCCAAUAGCUGAGUUUGUGUUUGUUGGUCCUUACGUCCCGUCAUCACACCGAGCCUCUGCUCAGUGUCUGGUGAUGUAAUGAUGUCACUGAUGGGUUUACAACAUAGUUAUUGAAAGCGCAGGUUUGUCUCAUACAGAAGGCAAAGGGACUGUUGUCCUUCGCUAUCAGACGCCAAGCGACGGGACAAAGCGUCGGGAUUUGAUGCCUUGGGAAUGACAACAGCCUGGCCGAGGGCUGAAACAUUUUUCUUUGCAUGUUGUGGGCAAUUUUGGGAUUUAGGGCUAUUUGGCCCCCAUAAAAUAUCUCCUUUUUAACACUCUAUGGAAGAAUAAAUCAACGAUGCCUAAUUCGGAAUAUGUAUUUUAUUACUUUUUCAGAUUCAUCAGAAGACUGCAUUACGUAAUUCCUCAUUUGCAUAUUUAAACUUUAGAUUUUAAGGAUUUGUAAUGCAGACAUGAAAUUGUCCUUAGGUAAGUAAUCAACGGGAUUCAACAUUUUUUUAAUCUGGGGUAAUUUUACACUAAUGUCUCCACUUAAAUGGGCGUGUUUGAGCUCUCUGUGGUUUCAGUAGGGCGGCUGAUGGAGGCGAUGGAGCAGCAUCGGGGGUAGUCACUGUCUAUAAAUAUUACACUCGGGGUGUUCUUCCUCUUCUCUCUUUCCUCCCGCUCUCACACACACACACACACACACACACACACACACACACACAAAUAUGUAACCACCUUUUCACCACCAACAUUUACAGCCCGUUGAUUCACUGUGUCUAUUUCACUUCCUGCGCUGUCUGCCCUCGCUAUCUAUCUGCAUUCCUUCCCUGCACGUUUCUGUCGCUCCCUCUCUGAGGCGCGGAGGCCAGAGCCUAUUUUUUUUUACUUUCUCAUUUCCUGUUUUGGGUGUGUAUCCGAUCUGCUUGUUCUCGUGCCCAGCACACAUCAAACUCAAGAGGAGACAAAAGAGACAGAGGGGAGGACCCUGGGUAAGGGAGUGAUGGCCAAACGGGAAUGUGCAUGUGGGGUGUGAGUGUGUGUGUGUGUGUGUGUGUGUGUGUGUGUGUGUGUGUGUGUGUGUGUGUGUAGAUCUGGGUGAGGGGAGUGGAAAUCCUGACUGGUGACAGAAGCAGUGAAAUCCAGAGGAAAAUGGAAAAAAGGAGAAAUGCUUCAUUAUCAUGAUGAGCACAAAAAUGGCCAAAUAAGGCCAUAGAAAUGUGUUUAACCUAAUAAGCUUUUUUUAAAGGAUUUGUGCAGUUUCCCCUUCUAAUAGUAAUUUGUUUUCAUUUAUUCUAAUUAUCUGUUUAGUCUGUCAUUUUCCCAAUUUCCUUGAACGAGGCAGGUCGAUCCGAGGGCGACGGCUGGGUACGAGCCACAGACCCACGCACAACCUCCUAUAGUCUGCUUCACAUCUCCAUUGUUGAGAAUUGGUUCCAAACUGGCUGUGCGUGUGGGCUACAGUCAAAACAGUUCCUCUGCAAAUAUUUUUAUUUUAUUCAUGCUUUGUAAUAACUUAGAAAUAUCUAUUAGCGAGUUAUACUUAAAUAACUUUGACCUCAACAAAGAGUCCUGGCUACUUCGUUCCUAACUAAAGCCAAUUUUAUAAUACUGUCUAAGAUGUUGUAGAGAUGGAUCAUGAGAGGCAAACAAAGCAAAAACCAUCCAUUUAAUUCAUCCAGAUUCAGGUAUUCUUACAAACCUUACCUGCUCUCCAGGACUGACUGGUCGCUGAGGCCGACUUAUUUGCUCGCAAUGGUGGCAACAACCUGAUUUCACUUAAAGCAAACCUGGGGAGAUCUACACAGACGCUCAACAACAUGUAAACAUUAUUAUGUUUUAGAAGUCCAAGAAACACUGGAGUAAACACACGGGGGGGGUGUAUGUGGAAAAAGGUAAAGCCAGCGGCAAACUUUUCAUCAGGUACGCUUCUUUUUCCUUUCGCAUGUUUUACUUUGGUGACACAGUGAAUAUGUGAUUUUAGGAGGUUGAUUUUGAUCAACGGGGGUUCUGUAACGGCGCCGUGCGCUGCGAGCCCUCCCCCGGACUCAACGGGUCUGUGGGCGAAACACGCAGGCUGGAACUGAGCAUCUCAACCGUGAGCGGGGGAAUUAAGAAAUGGGAGGAAGGGUGGAGCUGGAGAGGAUAUUUUAUUUGUAAAUCUGCCCGGCCCGCCACAAAAACAUAUGGCUCCAAUAAGUGUGGCCCUCCCCUCUCCCCCACACACACAGGACCCCCUGGAGUCUAGCUCUCAUUAGUGAAUUAUUAGAACCGAGAGGAGGGGA
This is a long non-coding RNA of Gasterosteus aculeatus aculeatus (three-spined stickleback), 3272 nucleotides long. The record is from Ensembl. Lineage: Eukaryota; Metazoa; Chordata; Actinopteri; Perciformes; Gasterosteidae.